AAUGGCAGAUCAGUGCAUAGGAUUUAAGCUCCUAAUAGAAAAUUUUUAAUUUUUUUUAGAA
Molecule: transfer RNA, 61 nt
Filed under: Leptalpheus forceps
Lineage: Eukaryota; Metazoa; Arthropoda; Malacostraca; Decapoda; Alpheidae
Description: tRNA-Leu
Source: RNAcentral